Mycena metata is the source of this 90-nucleotide non-coding RNA. The record is from the annotation of a GenBank genome assembly. NCBI's taxonomy places the organism in Eukaryota, Fungi, Basidiomycota, Agaricomycetes, Agaricales, Mycenaceae.
UCGGACGUGGUGUAGUGCAACACGGCCUCUAAUCUUAUCAGCUUACGAACAUUCCAGAGGCAGUACCGGGUUCGACUCCCGGCGUCCGAA